This 1706-nucleotide long non-coding RNA is filed under the name Sarcophilus harrisii (Tasmanian devil). Its description in RNAcentral is "lncRNA (ENSSHAG00000030714.1)". The record is from RNAcentral. Lineage: Eukaryota; Metazoa; Chordata; Mammalia; Dasyuromorphia; Dasyuridae.
GCUUCCCAGAACCACACGACGCAGCCGUGAGGAUGGGGCCCCGGGGCCCCGGGGCCCCGCCUGUCGUUGCGUCUCUCUGCCGUUUCCUUAUGACGUAAAGGGCCCUCCUGAUGUAGUCCUAGCAGCUGACACUGACACGGGGCUUUUACACACGAUGACACCUAACUAUCGGGACAGGCUUGUGAGACACUGUCGCUGCCACCAUAGAGAAGGGGACACUGAGGGCUGGCGAGGCCGCGUGGCCGUGCUAGAAGGGGAAGCUGAGGCCUGGCGAGGCCGCGUGGCCGUUACAGAAGGGGACACUGAGGAUUGGGAAGGCCAAGAGGUCGUUAAAGAUGGGCAAACUGAGGCUUGGCGAGGUCACGUGGCCAUUAUAGAUGGGGAAACCGAGACUUGGCGAGGUCAAGUGAUCGUCACCAAAGUGGAAACUGACGAUUGGGAAGGUCAAGAGGAAACUGAGGAUUGUCAAGUGAUCGUCACCGAAGAGGAAACUGACGAUUGGGAAGGUCAAGUGAUCGUCACCGAAGAGGAAACUGAGGAUUGUCAAGUGAUCGUCACCAAAGAGGAAACUGAGGAUUGGGAAGGUCACGUGGCCGUUACAGGGGGGGAAACUGAGGCUUGGGAAGGUCACGUGGCCGUUACAGAAGGGGAAACUGAGGCGUGGAGCGGUCAAGUGGCUGUUACAGAAGGGGAAACUGAGGCUUGGCAAGGUCAAGUGGCCGUUACAGAAGGGGAAACUGAGGCUUGGCGAGGUCACGUGGCCGUUACAGAAGGGGAAACUGAGGCGUGGAGCGGUCAAGUAGCCGUUACAGAAGGAGAAACUGAGGCUUGGAGAGGUCAAGUGGCCGUUACAGAAGGGGAAACUGAGGCUUGGCGAGGUCACGUAGCCACUUCAGAAGCAGAAACAGAGGCUUGGCAAGGUCACGUGUCCAUCACAGAAGGGGAAACUGAGGCUUGGCGAGGUAAAGUACCUACUUCAGAAGCAGAAACAAAGGCUUGGCGAGGUAAAGUAGCCACUUCAGAAGCAGAAACAGAGGCUUGGCAAGGUCACGUGUCUGUUAUAGAAGGGGAAACAGGCUUGUCGAGGUCAAGUAGCCAUUACAGAAGGGGAAACUGAGGCUGGAUAAGAUUGAAAUUCAUCUAAUUUAAGUGUCUGAGGUAGGAUUGGGUCCAGAACUUCCUGAUUAAGUCAUGAUGCCUCUUCAGAAAAGAAAGCGCACCCUGAUGUAGGCUCUCUGGGUACCCAGUGCCCCUCAUGGCAGAAGCGUCAUCAGCUAGAGCAGAGGGGCCUCUCUGCCACCUCCACCCAGAUGCUUGGGAGAAAGGGGCUCUUAGUCUUAGGACUGACAGAGUCACUGCUGACUGGCCUGUGAGGAACUACGGGUGGUCUGAGCUCAGCAGAUCCAGUGGCCUCCAUGGGCAUCACCAAGUUAUGAUGUGGCAACAAAGAGCUGGACAGCAAGCCCAACAAAAAAGGGCCCUUUCCCAACCCCUGAGCCUCCAUGGGUCAGUCCCGGCUCCAGGAAGAGCGUCAGAAAUGCUCACUGGGCAUCUCGGAGAGCUGGAGAACCAGCUGAAUGAGGUGAGAUGAAGAAAAAGAGAGAGGAGAGGGAAUUAAUAACCUAUUCAGAACAUGGCACACUAAACGAUAUCAAACAAAGUAUGGUAGCCAUCCUGGUCUUUGUUCUAAGGACCAACAUUUGCUG